Molecule: long non-coding RNA, 1503 nt
Filed under: Marmota monax (woodchuck)
Lineage: Eukaryota; Metazoa; Chordata; Mammalia; Rodentia; Sciuridae
Rfam family: tRNA (bases 390-458)
Source: RNAcentral
AAUAUAGAAAGACAGGAUGUUGUGGUGGAAACCAACAUAUUCCAACUUGAGUUUUCAGAAAUGUAGAAGUUAUAGAUGAUGACUAAGUUCAGGGUGUGGCUAGGGUGAAGGCUUUUGAGAAGACAGAUACAGAGGGAGAUAGAAAGUACAAGAACAAAACACCAAGGUGGAGCAGAGGCUCAGAAAAGGAUCCUCUGAGAGAACCACACUUCAGAGAGCUGUGUAAGUCUGUCCUUUCUGCUAUAGUGAGCUCCUUUAAAAAAUCAGGGCUUUUACUUGGCUCCUAUUUUGUGCUCAAAUUUCAGAUGUGUUGAAUAUCUGCUGUUUGCUGGCACUUUCCCAUGGUUCUAUUAUACCAAAAUCUCUUAAGAUAGAGUUUAUUUUGGGCUGGGGUUGUAGCUCAGUGGUAGAGCACUCGCAUAGUAUGUGCGAGACCCUAGGUUCGAUCCUCAGCACCACAUAAAAAUAAAUUCAUAAAAUAAAAGGUAUUGUGCCUAUCUACAACUAAGAAAAAAACGUUUAUUUUACAAAUGAAACCUAGAGAGGAUAUUUAUUGUUCAGUCAUACCACCAAAGUAUUUCAAAGCUAGUGUUGUAUUCAAAUCCAGCAUUAUUUCAUUUUCACCCUUUAUAGUCACCUCAAACUUGUUAAGUCCAAAAUUCAUCAUCUUUGCCCUUUCCCCAAAUAUGUUCCCCCUAAGUUUUGCUCAUUAAAUGACACCACAGAGCUAGGAAUGCAACUCCGUGGUAGAGUACCUGCCCAGCAUGUAAGUCCUUGGGUUUGCUCCCUAGCACAAGCAAAAACCCUCAUUCAUUAUCCAACCUUUGGUUCAAGUUAAAAAUCCAGGAGUCAUCUUGGAGUCCUCUAACUUCAAGACUUGGCAUAGUCAGUCAGUCACUGAGUUCUGUUUGCCUCCAAAAGUUCUCAAAGGUAACUUCAUCCAACCCCAAUGCUUUUUUUUUUGUUGUUCUGGGAAUUGAACUCAUGGCUUUGUACAUCAAGGUCUACCACUGAGUUACAUCCUCAGCCCCUAAAGUCUUUUAAACUUGAACUUUUCUUCUUUUCUUUUUCUUUUUUAAAUCAUGCUGGUGGUGCUGUACAUAUUGAGCCCUGGCAUAGGCAGUUUCCCCAGCUGACCAGAUCCUAGGUGAUCCAGGUGAGGUCUUCGUUAUGACCAUUGCUUCUGGAUUCUCUAGCACUUUUGGUAUGACUCAGAUGCUGUGCUGGGUCAUUUUACAUAUCCAGAUCCUUCCCAGUGGACAGAUGAAGAAUUAGGCAUCCCUCCUGAUGAUGAAGAUUGAAAGUAUAGACUCAACUCUUAUCAAGAGCAAGUGAAAAUUUCAAGAAAUUACAGACUUCAUAUUGUACAUUAAAAGUUGUACCCAGGGGCUGGAGAUGUGGCUCAAGCGGUAGCGCACUUGCCUGGCAUGUGUGCAGCCUGGGUUUGAUCCCCAGCACCAUAUACAAACAAAGAUGUUGUGUCUGCCGAAAACUAAAAAAAAA